Molecule: ribosomal RNA, 608 nt
Filed under: Oscillatoria sp. 2 SLR3
Lineage: Bacteria; Bacillati; Cyanobacteriota; Cyanophyceae; Oscillatoriales; Oscillatoriaceae
Description: bacterial SSU rRNA
Rfam family: Bacterial small subunit ribosomal RNA
Source: RNAcentral
AUCUACCUUCAGGACGGGGACAACAGCUGGAAACGGCUGCUAAUACCCGAUAUGCCGAAAGGUGAAAAGUUAUUUCGCCUGGAGAGGAGCUCGCGUCCGAUUAGCUAGUUGGUGGGGUAAAAGCUUACCAAGGCAACGAUCGGUAGCUGGUCUGAGAGGAUGAGCAGCCACACUGGAACUGAGACACGGUCCAGACUCCUACGGGAGGCAGCAGUGGGGAAUUUUCCGCAAUGGGCGAAAGCCUGACGGAGCAACGCCGCGUGGGGGAAGAAGGUUUUUGGAUUGUAAACCCCUUUUCUCAAGGAAGAACAAAAUGACGGUACUUGAGGAAUCAGCCUCGGCUAACUCCGUGCCAGCAGCCGCGGUAAUACGAAGACAAGCGUUAUCCGGAAUUAUUGGGCGUUAAAGCGUUCGUAGCGGCUGUUCAAUUCUGCUGUUCAAAGACCGAAGCUCAACUCGGUUCUGCAGUUGGAAACUGGAUACCUAGAGUCGUAGGGCAGAAGGGAAUUCCCAGGUGUGCGGUGAAAUGCGUAGAUAUUGUGAAGAACACCGGUNGCGAAAGCGCUNUGCUGGGCCNNACCUGACGNNGAGGGACGNAACCCCGGNAU